Etheostoma spectabile (orangethroat darter) is the source of this 373-nucleotide long non-coding RNA. RefSeq lists it as uncharacterized. NCBI's taxonomy places the organism in Eukaryota, Metazoa, Chordata, Actinopteri, Perciformes, Percidae. The record is from RefSeq and is a predicted model, not a curated record. The transcript has 3 exons.
AGCAUACAUAUCGCAGCGCGGAGGGAUACGUACGUGAAUCGACAGCUAUCCAACUGUCAGUGGCGAUCAGAGUUGAGAGGAUGUCGCUCGGAAAUUUAUCAACGGAGGAUUUAAUCAGAGUUACUUCGUUUUGGAAUAGAAGUCACUGAAGAGGAGCGAAGUAAAUUCAAAGACAAUGAAGUUGACGGAGAAUCAGUGGACUAUGGAUUAACUGAGAGGAUGUUUCAGACCUUUUUGAAGGAUCGUUUAAGAAGCUAAAUUCAACCGAUUUGUUCAGCUGUGGAAAGAAACCGUGAGCCUGUCCCGGUACAUUCGGAGAAGGCUUCAGCAGAAUCAAAUCAUGCCAUCCCAUCAUCAGCCUUCCCAGCAGUUU